GACGUAGGAGGCGAGCGUUAUCCGAAUUUACUGGGCGUAAAGGGUGUGCAGGCGGUUCGGUAAGUUGGGUGUGAAAUCUCCCGGCUCAACUGGGAGAGGUCGCUCAAGACUGUCGGACUGGAGGGCAGGCGAGGGAGGUGGAAUUCCCGGUGUAGUGGUGAAAUGCGUAGAUAUCGGGAGGAACACCAGUGGCGAAGGCGACUACCUGGCCUGUUUCUUGACGCUGAGGCGCGAAAGCUAGGGGAGCAAACGGG
Molecule: ribosomal RNA, 254 nt
Filed under: uncultured bacterium
Lineage: Bacteria
Description: partial 16S ribosomal RNA
Rfam family: Bacterial small subunit ribosomal RNA
Source: RNAcentral